This 768-nucleotide long non-coding RNA is filed under the name Ricinus communis (castor bean). Its description in RNAcentral is "long non-coding RNA (RCOM_LNC001815)". The record is from RNAcentral. Lineage: Eukaryota; Viridiplantae; Streptophyta; Magnoliopsida; Malpighiales; Euphorbiaceae.
UCAAAAUCAAAUAAUCUAAGGACUAUUGCAACAUUCACAUGAUAUAUUAGUUAUUCAGAAUAAUAUACCAAUUUCUGAAUAUAAUUGCAAUCAUAAUAUAUAAUCAUACACCAUAGUAAUAAAAUGAUAAAAGAAGAUAGUGUAAAUAAAUAAAGACAUUUUUACUUUCACGGGACGUGUGGCUAAGUAGAACCCUAACCCCAAAUUCUAACAGCCAUUUUGGCUCUCUUAAUCCAAAUAAGACUGGCGCCCCGAGAGCAAUGCUCGACCAGUGACCUUACCUCCAGUCUGGUCACUUAAGUAUCCAAAUAAGAAAUCUAGUAGUCAUUCGGCUCUCUUAAUCCAAUAAGACUGGCGCCCCGAGAGCAAUGCUCGACCAGGGACCUUACCUCCAGUCUGGUCACUUAAGUAUCCAAAUAAGCCGGCGCCCCGAGAGCAAUGCUCGACUAGGGACCUUACCUCCGGCAAUUUACACAAAUCAGCCCAGAGAGCCAUGCUCGACCAGGGCAAACCCAUAAAUAUCUUAUUACAUGUCCAUGAUCAUUACUGGUGCGCACGCGGUCCUGAUGUAACCCAUCAGGCGGCAUGUUCUACAAGCCACAUUUCCCAAUUCGCAAUCAUCACAUAUAAUAAAUAUCAUUAUCUGAUGAACUCAUCCAACACAUAUCGAAAUAAAGAUUAAAGAUUUAAGAUAAAACAACGUGCAAUUUGUGAGGGGAAAAAUAAUAACGUUUGUCUUAUUAUAACAUACUAAUAAUAAUAUUUAUA